Molecule: ribosomal RNA, 274 nt
Filed under: uncultured bacterium
Lineage: Bacteria
Description: partial 16S ribosomal RNA
Rfam family: Bacterial small subunit ribosomal RNA
Source: RNAcentral
AUACGGAGGGUGCAGGCGUUGUCCGGAUUUAUUGGGUUUAAAGGGUGUGUAGGCGGUGUAUUAAGUCAGUGGUGAAAGCCUGCGGCUCAACCGUAGAACUGCCAUUGAUACUGACACACUUGAGUAUGGACGAGGUAGGCGGAAUUUAUGGUGUAGCGGUGAAAUGCAUAGAUACCAUAAAGAACACCGAUAGCGAAGGCAGCUUACUGGGCCAUAACUGACGCUGAGGCACGAAAGCGUGGGGAGCGAACAGGAUUAGAAACCCCGGUAGUCC